RNAcentral lists this long non-coding RNA (2521 nucleotides) under Gossypium barbadense (sea-island cotton). RNAcentral describes it as "long non-coding RNA (GBAR_LNC013367)". The record is from RNAcentral. Lineage: Eukaryota; Viridiplantae; Streptophyta; Magnoliopsida; Malvales; Malvaceae.
GGUUCUCUUCCUACCUUUGUUUUGGUCGAUCGUGGAGGUACUCUAUUUUUUUUCCUCAAAAUUUUCGCCUUAUAAGAAAAAUUAAUCUGUGGUUUUGUUUAUUUGAGCUAUAAUUUGUUUGUUGUAGGGUUGAACGAUGAGGAAUUUUUGUGUUGUUUUAGCUAAUUUGAGUAAUUCCAAAUUGGGGAAUUUUUAAUAUUAGGUUUAAAGUUCAAUUUGUUGGAUUUGGUUUAUUUAUGGGGCAAUAAUUUAUUUGUUAGUUUGGGAUUUGAGGGUUAAUUGAUUUGGUUUUUCCAUCUACUUGGAUUUAUGUUAUUAUUUUUUAACUAAUUCAUUUAAAUAAAUUUAGCUUUAUCAGUUUCCAUUGAUUUCAUUAUCAUUAUUUAUAUAUUUAUUCAUUCAUUUAUGUAUUAAUAUACUUGUUUUCAGCUUUGCUUUAAGUUGUUUGGACGGAUGUCUUUUUCUCUUUUUAUCUUACUAGUUGUUUUCUGAAAUUAGGUCCACUCUUUUAGGUUCAUUUCCCUCCUUUCAUAGGGAUAUAGCCUUAGAGUUGUCUACAAAAGUAGAGCUAAGUUUCUCUGAUUCUUGGUUUUGCUUUAAGUACCAGUUUUAGACUCAAUAUCCGAACAUGUGUACGGUGAUAUGAUUUUUCAAAAUCCUUCUAGGUACAUGAAAAAAAUUUGAAUAUAUACGUGUCAAACACAUUCCUGUAUUUGAAAUUGAAACUCAUACCCGAGUCCAAGUGAACAUAUAUGUUUUGAGUAUGGUUGGUUCUCAAGGCAGAUGUAUGAUAAUAAAAAUGAAUUUCAAAAUGCUGGUUAUCCAAGAAUUUCGUAGUAAUGGCUUAUAGUUUUCUCCAGAUUGGAUAAAGUGGUUUAGAGCUAAGUUUCUCUGACUCUCAGUUUUGCCUGAAGUACCCGUUUUGGACUCAAUAUCGGAACAUAUGUGCGGUAAUAUGUCUUUUCAAAGAUCCUCUAGGUACAUGAAAAGAAAUUGAAUAUAUCAGUGUCAAACACAUACCUAUAUUUGAAACUCAUGCCCAAGUCCAAGUGAACAUAGAUUAAGAGUGUAUGAUUUGAGUUUGGUUGGUUCUUAAACAGAUGGAUGAUAAUAAAAAUGAGUUUCAAAAUAAUGGUGAUCUAAGCAUUUCGUAGUAAUGGAUUAGAUAAUUCAGUUACAUUACUACAAUGCAAUUACGCUGUUAAUGAUCCUCUGGAUAUCCGUUUGAAGUACCCGUUUUAGACUCAAUAUCCGAACAUGCAUAUGGGGACACAUGACUUUUCAAAGAUCCUCCAGAUACAUGAAAAACAAAAACAAACUUAUCCGUGUCAAACAUGUGCCUGCAUUUGAAACUCAUACCCGAGUCCGAGUGAACAUAGAUUUGAGUGUAUGAUUUGAGUUUGGUUGGUUCUCGAACAGAUGUAUGGUGAUAAAAAUGAGGUUCAAAAUGCUGGUUGAUCUAAGCCUAGGUAGUAAUGGCGUAUAGUUACUUCCGGAUUAGAUAAUUCAGUUACAUUACUAUAAUGUGAUUACACCGUUAAAGAGAUGAGAAAAAUCUGUAGCGUUGCCUAUAUACGGACUCCAGUUGCUGCUAAGGUUGUAAAAUUUGCUUAUUGUCCUUGAUUGAGUUAUGGUCUUCGAUGUAAUUUUUCUUUAGUUUUUGAUAUAUAUAUAUUUGCGGAGACUGCAUUUAGCGCCUUUUUUCUUAUUAUUUUUCAAGAUUGCUUCUUUGCUUUAAAGGUUUGGAAUGUAUGGCAAGCAGGUGCUUCUGCAGUGCUUGUUGCGGAUGAUAUUGAAGAAGCAUUAAUAACCAUGGACAAUCCUGAAGAGGACAGUUCAUCUGCCAAAUACAUUGAAAAUAUAACAAUUCCAUCUGCCCUUAUCGAGAAAACUUUUGGUGAAACUCUAACCCUGAUGAUCGUGACGAGUACGAGUUAUGAACCAACUGCAAUGAUGAACGUGGAGUUAAAUGUGAUAUGCUGAUGGCAUUUGUGAAGGAUUUCAAGGGUGCUUCUCAGAUUCUCGAAAAAGCUGGCUAUACGCAGUUCACACCCCAUUAUAUAACUUGGUACUUCUCUCAAGCUUUCACCCUAAGCCGACAGUGCAAAUCUCAAUGCAUCAACCGCGGAAGAUACUGUGCACCGGAUCCUGAACAAGGUUUUAGCUCAGGUUAUGAAGGGAAAGAUGUAGUUAUUGAGACCUUAAGGCAGCUUUUUGUUUUCAAAGUGGCAAAUGAUACUGGUCGAUCGUGGAGGUACUCUUUUUUCUGUUUUCUUUUUUGUCAAAAUUUUCGCCUUAUAAGAAAAAUUAAUUUGUGGUUUUGUUUAUUUGAGCUAUAAUUUGUUUGUUGUAGGGUUGACCGAUGAGGAAUUUUUGUGUUGUUUUAGCUAAUUUGAGUAAUUCCAAAUUGGGGAAUUUUUAAUAUUAGGUUUAAAGUUCAAUUUGUUGGAUUUGGUUUAUUUAUGGGGCAAUAAUUUAUUUGUUAGUUUGGGAUUUGAGGGUUAAUUGAUUUGGUUUUUCC